RNAcentral lists this ribosomal RNA (490 nucleotides) under uncultured bacterium. RNAcentral's name for it is "partial 16S ribosomal RNA". It matches the Rfam family "Bacterial small subunit ribosomal RNA", at positions 30 to 507 of the family's 1533-position model. The record is from RNAcentral.
AUUGAACGCUGGCGGCAGGCCUAACACAUGCAAGUCGAACGGUAACAGGAAGAAGCUUGCUUCUUUGCUGACGCGUGGCGGACGGGUGAGUAAUGUGUGGGACACUGCCUGAUGGAGGGGGAUAACUCCUGGAAACGGUAGCUAAUACCGCAUAACGUCGCAAGCCCAAAAAGGGGGACCUUCGGGCGUCUUGCCAUCGGCUGUGCCCAGAUGGGAUUAGCUAGUAGGUGGGGUAACGGCUAACCUAGGCGACGAUCCCUAGCUGGUCUGAGAGGAUGACCAGCCACACUGGAACUGAGACACGGUCCAGACUCCUACGGGAGGCAGCAGUGGGGAAUAUUGCACAAUGGGCGCAAGCCUGAUGCAGCCAUGCCGCGUGUAUGAAGAAGGCCUUCGGGUUGUAAAGUACUUUCAGCGGGGAGGAAGGGAGGAAUGUUAAUACCUGUGCGCAUUGACGUUACCCGCAGAAGAAGCACCGGCUAACUCCGUG